Canis lupus familiaris (dog) is the source of this 449-nucleotide long non-coding RNA. RefSeq lists it as uncharacterized. The record is from RefSeq and is a predicted model, not a curated record. The transcript has 3 exons. Lineage: Eukaryota; Metazoa; Chordata; Mammalia; Carnivora; Canidae.
CUACUUUCUUCUACUCAACUAUAGGACAUUCCUAGCCAUCAUGCCCCAGGAAUUACCUGCGUGAGCUCCCAAAGAAGUCUUUCUUGCCUUCUAUUAUCCUCAAUCAGUUUUCAGCUCUGGGAAUUUGUCUUUUCUCACUCGCCAAAGCCACAGCUCAGAGCAACCAUCAGAAAAUGAUUAACACUGUCUGUCUGUGCUGCAGCCGUCGGACAAUCGCAAAGGUUCUGCCUCACGCCCCUGCCCAUCUCACCCUGGAUCAGAAAAAAAGGAGGCUUGGGAAUACCUGAAAAUGGGCUUCACGGGCGGGAUGACUUCCUACCUCCAUCCCCGCAAAAGGCUGCAGCUUUGCCCCAGACUUCCUUGGCGCCCACCCGCCAAGGCAGCAAAAGGAAGCAAUAGCUGUCAGCCCCUGCCAGGCUGGGUCUUCGCAAGGUGCAGCUGAAUAAUCA